RNAcentral lists this long non-coding RNA (678 nucleotides) under Panax ginseng (ginseng). RNAcentral's name for it is "long non-coding RNA (PGIN_LNC012561)". The record is from RNAcentral. Lineage: Eukaryota; Viridiplantae; Streptophyta; Magnoliopsida; Apiales; Araliaceae.
CCGAAUUGUUAACAUAUCAACCAUAUUUAUUAAUUUCCAACAAAUACCUAUUACUAUUCAGAAAUCAUUGGUAUAUCUUGGUGAUUGUUGCAAGCAUUGAACUUAUCAUUCUUAAAUGCAUUAUAAAAGCUGUCUAAGCCAUUGAUUAUGCUAGACCAUUAUCGUAUGAUAGAAAGCUAUCCAAACCAAAUUAUCUUGGUACGAACUCUUAUAAUUGACUGAGAUGAACAACCCUCCUUGAAGGGGAAACCAUAUAAUUGUCGGGAGACCGACGUGCGCACAUGAGUAUGAUUAAAUGUUAUGCAUAACGUAGGGUACUUUAGGCUGAUCACCUGCGAUACUUGUUCUAUUGGAUUAUCAGUAUAUUACUGUUAAUUCUAGUACUAGAAGUUCAUAGUCCUUAGUGACUGCUCAGUAUUCAUUAUUUUGAAAUCUCGAAUUGAUUAAGCAUUGAAUCUUAUUGAUAUCUUUUUUUCCUUAGCGACUAUUGUUGAGAGCCAUCGAUAUUUCUUGCUAUCCUUGAACUAUCAUUAUUGUUGUACCCUUGAGAAUUUAAAACUAUAUUGAACACCCUUAUUGUUAUAUUACUUGUUGAGCAAACUUGUUGCUCAUUUUUUCUUUCCUUAAAAACAUUUCAGUUAAGGCAGAACAAGGCGAACCCGCAGGCAUUGAUAAGGG